GUGCUCGCUUCAGCAGCACAUAUACUAAAAUUGGAAUGAUACAGACAAGAUUAGCAUGGUCCCUGCUCAAGGAUAACACACAAAUUGUGAAGCAUUCCAUAUUUUU
Sorex fumeus (smoky shrew) is the source of this 106-nucleotide small nuclear RNA. NCBI's taxonomy places the organism in Eukaryota, Metazoa, Chordata, Mammalia, Eulipotyphla, Soricidae. The record is from RefSeq and is a predicted model, not a curated record.